GCCGGUGUAGCCCAAUAGGUAGAGGUGCCAGGUCGAGAACCUGGAGGUUGCGGGUUCGACUCCCGCCGCCGGCAC
Molecule: transfer RNA, 75 nt
Filed under: Myxococcus fulvus
Lineage: Bacteria; Pseudomonadati; Myxococcota; Myxococcia; Myxococcales; Myxococcaceae
Description: tRNA-Leu
Rfam family: tRNA
About the family: Transfer RNA (tRNA) molecules are approximately 80 nucleotides in length. Their secondary structure includes four short double-helical elements and three loops (D, anti-codon, and T loops).
Source: RNAcentral